RNAcentral lists this ribosomal RNA (465 nucleotides) under Vreelandella stevensii. RNAcentral's name for it is "partial 16S ribosomal RNA". It matches the Rfam family "Bacterial small subunit ribosomal RNA", at positions 338 to 795 of the family's 1533-position model. Lineage: Bacteria; Pseudomonadati; Pseudomonadota; Gammaproteobacteria; Oceanospirillales; Halomonadaceae. The record is from RNAcentral.
CCUACGGGGGGCAGCAGUGGGGAAUAUUGGACAAUGGGGGGAACCCUGAUCCAGCCAUGCCGCGUGUGUGAAGAAGGCCCUCGGGUUGUAAAGCACUUUCAGUGAGGAAGAACGCCUGGUGGUUAAUACCCAUCAGGAAAGACAUCACACACAGAAGAAGCACCGGCUAACUCCGUGCCAGCAGCCGCGGUAAUACGGAGGGUGCGAGCGUUAAUCGGAAUUACUGGGCGUAAAGCGCGCGUAGGUGGCUUGAUAAGCCGGUUGUGAAAGCCCCGGGCUCAACCUGGGAACGGCAUCCGGAACUGUCAAGCUAGAGUGCAGGAGAGGAAGGUAGAAUUCCCGGUGUAGCGGUGAAAUGCGUAGAGAUCGGGAGGAAUACCAGUGGCGAAGGCGGCCUUCUGGACUGACACUGACACUGAGGUGCGAAAGCGUGGGUAGCAAACAGGAUUAGAUACCCUUGUAGUC